RNAcentral lists this ribosomal RNA (460 nucleotides) under uncultured bacterium. RNAcentral describes it as "partial 16S ribosomal RNA". It matches the Rfam family "Bacterial small subunit ribosomal RNA", at positions 338 to 795 of the family's 1533-position model. The record is from RNAcentral.
CCUACGGGAGGCAGCAGUGAGGAAUAUUGGUCAAUGGGCGCGAGCCUGAACCAGCCAAGUAGCGUGAAGGAUGACUGCCCUAUGGGUUGUAAACUUCUUUUAUAAAGGAAUAAAGUGAGGCACGUGUGCCUUUUUGCAUGUACUUUAUGAAUAAGGAUCGGCUAACUCCGUGCCAGCAGCCGCGGUAAUACGGAGGAUCCGAGCGUUAUCCGGAUUUAUUGGGUUUAAAGGGAGCGUAGAUGGGUUGUUAAGUCAGUUGUGAAAGUUUGCGGCUCAACCGUAAAAUUGCAAUUGAUACUGGCAGCCUUGAGUACAGUUGAGGUAGGCGGAAUGCGUGGUGUAGCGGUGAAAUGCUUAGAGAUCACGAAGAACUCCGAUUGCGAAGGCAGCUUACUAAACUGCCACUGACGUUGAGGCUCGAAAGUGUGGGUAUCAAACAGGAUUAGAUACCCCUGUAGUC